UGGGGAAUUUUGCACAAUGGGGGAAACCCUGAUGCAGCGACGCCGCGUGAGUGAAGAAGGAUUUCGGUUCGUAAAACUCUGUUGUUAGAGAAGAACAGCGCAUAGAGUAACUGUUAUGCGUGUGACGGUAUCUAACCAGAAAGCCACGGCUAACUACGUGCCAGCAGCCGCGGUAAUACGUAGGUGGCAAGCGUUGUCCGGAUUUAUUGGGCGUAAAGCGAGCGCAGGCGGUCAAUUAAGUCUGAUGUGAAAGCCCCCGGCUCAACCGGGGAGGGUCAUUGGAAACUGGUUGACUUGAGUGCAGAAGAGGAGAGUGGAAUUCCAUGUGUAGCGGUGAAAUGCGUAGAUAUAUGGAGGAACACCGGUGGCGAAAGCGGCUCUCUGGUCUGUAACUGACGCUGAGGCUCGAAAGCGUGGGGAGCGAACAGG
This 429-nucleotide ribosomal RNA is filed under the name Bacteroidota bacterium. Its description in RNAcentral is "Bacteroidetes bacterium partial 16S ribosomal RNA". It matches the Rfam family "Bacterial small subunit ribosomal RNA", at positions 355 to 776 of the family's 1533-position model. The record is from RNAcentral. Lineage: Bacteria; Pseudomonadati; Bacteroidota.